RNAcentral lists this ribosomal RNA (525 nucleotides) under uncultured Actinomyces sp. RNAcentral's name for it is "bacterial SSU rRNA". It matches the Rfam family "Bacterial small subunit ribosomal RNA", at positions 1 to 507 of the family's 1533-position model. The record is from RNAcentral. Lineage: Bacteria; Bacillati; Actinomycetota; Actinomycetes; Actinomycetales; Actinomycetaceae.
GUGUGCCUUGGCGUCCUGGCGUCAGGACGAACGCUGGCGGCGUGCUUAACACAUGCAAGUCGAACGGGCCUUGCUCUUUUUGGGUGGGGUUAGUGGCGAACGGGUGAGUAACACGUGAGUAACCUGCCCCUCACUUCUGGAUAACCGCUUGAAAGGGUGGCUAAUACGGGGUGUUCUGGCCUGCUCGCAUGGGUGGGUUUGGAAAGAUUCGACCGGUUUUGGUUGUUUUGGUGGGGGAUGGGCUCGCGGCCUAUCAGCUUGUUGGUGGGGUGAUGGCCUGCCAAGGCUUUGACGGGUAGCCGGCCUGAGAGGGUGGGCGGUCACACUGGGACUGAGACACGGCCCAGACUCCUACGGGAGGCAGCAGUGGGGAAUAUUGCACAAUGGGCGGAAGCCUGAUGCAGCGACGCCGCGUGAGGGAUGGAGGCCUUCGGGUUGUGAACCUCUUUCGCCAGUGAAGAAGGUCCUGCUCUUUGUGGUGGGGUUGACGGUAGCUGGGUUAAUGAAGCGCCGGCUAACUACGUG